AUACGGAGGGUGCAAGCGUUACUCGGAAUCACUGGGCGUAAAGCGCGCGCAGGCGGCUAUUUAAGUUGGAUGUGAAAGCCUAUGGCUCAACCAUAGAACUGCAUCCAAAACUAUUUAGCUAGAGUGUGGGAGAGGAAGAUGGAAUUAGUUGUGUAGGGGCAAAAUCCGUAGAGAUAACUAGGAAUACCAAAAGCGAAGGCAAUCUUCUGGAACACUACUGACGCUGAGGCGCGAAAGCGUGGGGAGCAAACAGGAUUAGAAACCCUAGUAGUCC
RNAcentral lists this ribosomal RNA (274 nucleotides) under uncultured bacterium. RNAcentral describes it as "partial 16S ribosomal RNA". It matches the Rfam family "Bacterial small subunit ribosomal RNA", at positions 523 to 796 of the family's 1533-position model. The record is from RNAcentral.